GAUGAACGCUGGCGGCGUGCCUAAUACAUGCAAGUCGAGCGAACAGACGAGGAGCUUGCUCCUCUGACGUUAGCGGCGGACGGGUGAGUAACACGUGGAUAACCUACCUAUAAGACUGGGAUAACUUCGGGAAACCGGAGCUAAUACCGGAUAAUAUAUUGAACCGCAUGGUUCAAUAGUGAAAGACGGUUUUGCUGUCACUUAUAGAUGGAUCCGAGCCGCAUUAGCUAGUUGGUAAGGUAACGGCUUACCAAGGCAACGAUGCGUAGCCGACCUGAGAGGGGGAGCGGCGACAUGGGAAAUGAGACACGGGUCAGACGGCGAAGGGAGGCAGCAGGAGGUAAGAUUGUGAAAGGUGGGUAAGCAUGAAAGCGUAAAGCAGAGGGAAGGAAGAAGGGGUACGGACUUGAAAACCCUGCGAGGUGGGAAGAACAAAAGGGCAAGGAACGCGGCAGAGAGUGAGGCGAGUUAAUAAGAAAGAGAGCGAGCGCUUGGUC
RNAcentral lists this ribosomal RNA (497 nucleotides) under uncultured bacterium. Its description in RNAcentral is "partial 16S ribosomal RNA". The stretch from base 15 to 380 matches the Rfam family "Bacterial small subunit ribosomal RNA", at positions 42 to 397 of the family's 1533-position model. The record is from RNAcentral.